This 2764-nucleotide long non-coding RNA is filed under the name Bemisia tabaci. RNAcentral's name for it is "lncRNA ENSSSA3NGG009078". The record is from RNAcentral. Lineage: Eukaryota; Metazoa; Arthropoda; Insecta; Hemiptera; Aleyrodidae.
GGUCAUACUCAGGCAUAAGUAAGCUCCCUUUUUUUUAAAAAGCAAAACAUUAAAAAUAAACAAAUGAAAUAAAUACAGGGUGUCUAGCAUCAGGAUUUUCCUGAUUCCAUCAGGAUUUGAAGUCAAUCAGGAUUUAAUCCCGAUUUCAUCAGGAUUUGAGGAAAAAUCGGUCGUAAAAUCAGGAUUUGAGAAAGUCUGCCGUCGUUAUUUUUCGUUAACUAUCCGAUAUCCGUCCGUUCAUUUCUCCGCCAAAAAUCAGGAUUUGAAAAAAUUAUGAAAUCAAGAUUUAGCAGUCAAAAAUCAGGAAAAAUCAGGAUUUCCCAAAAUGAAAAAAAACUAGACACCCUGUAAUAUCUUUCCAUGAAAAUAAAUGUUCUCAACAAUUAAUCAGUUUGCUGCGUUAUAUUUUGGAACAAUUUGAGGAAGUGGGGAGUGAGGCGCUGGUUGGGGGGGGGGGGGGGGGUCUAAAAGUCGGCCAAAAUCGCUUACUCAAUACUUGAACGCCCCUCAUCCUUCUGGAUUUUUGAUGAAGAAUCUAAUGGAUUUGGACGAUUUUUUGAUUGCAGAUGAUGUGAAGAUCGAAGCCUCGAGUGGGAUAGUGGAGCUUGCGGUGGGCUCUCGGAGUGCGUGGGCGGGUGCGGGCGCGGUGAAGGCGGCCGUGGGGACGGGGCCACGGAGGCCGGAGCCACGCUUCAAGCGGAGACUGCGACGCUGGUGGUUCACCGUGGAGAAGCGGGAGCCGACCGCGGAUGAAGGCGACCCCGGUGACGUCAUCGAGUUCCCCUCCGCCCCCGGCCCCGCCACCGAGACCGGAAAUGGAGCCGGAAGCCCCGCGGCGGCGGCGACGGCGCCCUCUCCCGUCCAGUUCGACGAGGCCGUCGGCGGGGUGGGCGUGGGAGUGGGCCGCGGGGGUGACUACGUGAACCAGCUGGUCGUGGCCAGCGCCGUCCAGCGCGGGGGUGGCGCCGAGGGGCCCGGCCCGCCCGCCGGCGACUUCUUAAGGGCGACGUGCGCCGAUAGGGUGCUCGACUCGGACGGUCGAGUGACCGCCCUCUGGAUCAACCUCAGGUGGAACCUCUCCGCAAGCCGCCAUCAGCUCAGCGCCGACGAUUGGAUUGGACUCUAUCCCUUAGGCGAGAAUGACGCUGAAAAAUCCCUGAGACGCCACACCAAGAACUUGGGAUGUAACGAAGGAGCAACCAUGUGGCUUAUGGACUAUCCACAACAGACGCAAUCCUUAAAACAAGACUGCGGGAAUCUGCUGUGCUUCCGGUACUACAGCGGUCUGAGCCUGUCAUGCCUAGCCCAGUCGGAGCCGAUUGACCUGGACUCGGUGUACAAGCUCGCGUCGCCCAAGGACAAAGACAAUGUAGCCGGGAACCGGAACAACAACCACAACCACAUCAACCACCAGCAGCACCACAGCCAGAGCAACAUCUACGUGUCCAGCAACAACUUGCACAGCAAAGAGCUCUCGGCCAAGCGAACCUACCUCAAGAGAUCCGAUGAGCCGAUGAAGAUCCACCCGGCCCCGGACUCGCCGCCUACGCCGCUCGCCCCCCAGUCCCAAGCACCGCCCACAACUCCGGCCCCGCCCACCCAGGGCAGCUCCGAGAGCGAGUCGGACAAUGAGAACCUCAUCAAGUCGAGCAAGAAGGGCUGGCGACUCCUCCGCAAGAAGAACAAGCGGACGAGCCCCGGCCCGGAGAUCCACCUCCCCAACGGCGAGGCCGCCUCCGACUCGGACUCGAAGCACUCCCGCAAGGAGCUCAUCACGUGGAACUCCCACGAGACCCGCUGCCAGCUGACCAAGGACCCGAGCUCCGAGUACUACCCCAUCUGGAUCAACAACAACGACCAGAGCGUCAAGAACGAGAACCACGAGAACGGCUACGAGACGCUCUACCCCUCGGAGGAACCGCCGCCCCUCCCGCCGCGCACCUUCUCCCCGCGGCACCGCCCCCUUGAACGGUCCAAGGCCAUCCAGCCCCCGCCUCCUCCCCCGCCACCCCCCGAGGUCUCCCGGAAGCACAAACCCAUCAAGUAUUCGGCCGAUCUCCUACGACCGUGCCUCCCUCCAAAACCAAAGAAGACCGAGUUCAGCUCCGUUGACGAGUUGUUCAGCCUCUCGAGCAUCGACACGAACAGCUUCGAGGAGCACGCGCCGACGAUAUCCCCGACGCCGGGCUCGACGCCCCGCCAGGCCCCUCUGGCCACGCCCGAGCUGGAGGAGACGCCGCUGGUCAACCUGGAGUCUAUCCCCAACUCGGUGCUCCUGUCCAGUCCCGAGCUCCUGGACCGCCUCACCUGCCGCCUCGCCACCGCUUCUAGUCAAGAUUGUGAUAUAAGUUUAACGACGGCCGAGGUGCCCGUGUCGGUGCCGGUGCUCAACGGCCAUGUCGAGGAUCCGGUCCGAGGGACCAACGGGCAGGCCAGCGAUAGUGGGGAGUCGGUCCUCUCGCCGGACGGAUGCGUGGCGGCCGACCCGGAGGUGGAGCUAGUCAACGGGACCGACGAGGACUCCGGCGGAAGCGUCCGCAGGGAGGUCGAGUCCCUCAACUCCUCAAGUGCCGAGUCCGUCGAGUCCGCCGAGUCCAUCCCUGGAUUGGAACCCGUGUCCCUCUCUACGCCGCUCGAGCCUCCACUUCGUGCUCACAAGCCUCUCUCGCGGCAGGUACGCAUCACUUUUAUCUUCUUAAUCAACUCCCAACUAGUAUUUAGUAUUGAUGACUAAAUCGAAAGGUAUUGCAAAUAUCUGCUCAUA